This 783-nucleotide long non-coding RNA is filed under the name Salmo salar (Atlantic salmon). RNAcentral's name for it is "lncRNA (ENSSSAG00000113513.1, ENSSSAG00020054709.1)". Lineage: Eukaryota; Metazoa; Chordata; Actinopteri; Salmoniformes; Salmonidae. The record is from RNAcentral.
CAUUGAAAUAGGAUUCCAGGUGUAAUUUAGAUGUUGUCCACAAGAUAGCAGCAGUGUGUGUGCAAAGUUUCAGACUAAUCCAGUGAAGAAUUACAUCACUACACAAGUCUGCCAGGAGUUUGCCCAAAUGUGCCGAAUUGGUCAAUUAAUACAUUUUCAAGUACAUAACUAUAGAGAACAUACAAAAAUGCUAUGGUAAAAAAAAUAUAUAUGUUUACACACUCCCAGGAAUUUCAUGCAUGAUGGAUCACUAGCUUCCCUACAGAAAAUACACUAACCUUCACACAUCUAUUUUACCUGGACCAGCCACUCUUAAAUAUCACCUGGGCCAGCCACUCCUAAAUAUCACCUUGGCCAGCCACUUUUAAAUAUCACCUGGGCCAGCACAGGUGUAACACCUCCCGACUAAUGAGAUGGACAAGCCAGCACAGGUGAAACACCUCCCAACUAACGAGAUGGACAAGCCAGCACAGGUGUAACACCUCCCGACUAACGAGAUGGACAAGCCAGCACAGGUGUAACACCUCCGACUAACGAGAUGGAUAAGCCAGCACAGGUAUAACACCUCCCGACUAACGAGAUGGACAAGCCAGCACAGGUGUAACACCUCCGACUAACGAGAUGGACAAGCCAGCACAGGUGUAACACCUCCCGACUAACGAGAUGGAUAAGCCAGCACAGGUAUAACACCUCCCGACUAACGAGAUGGACAAGCCAGCACAGGUGUAACACCUCCGACUAACGAGAUGGACAAGCCAGCACAGGUGUAACACCGACUAACGA